AAUGAACGUUGGCGGCGUGGAUUAGGCAUGCAAGUCGAGCGAGAAACCUCGCAAGGGGUGGAAAGCGGCGUAAGGGAGAGGAACACGUGGUUCAUCUGCCCUCAGGUCCGGGAUAGCUGCGGGAAACUGCAGGUAAUACCGGAUGACAUCUCCGGAUCAAAGGUGUGAUUCCGCCUGAGGAUGAGACCGCGUCCUAUUAGCUAGUUGGUGAGGUAAUGGCUCACCAAGGCAAUGAUGGGUACCGGGUGUGAGAGCACGACCCGGCUCACUGGGACUGAGACACUGCCCAGACACCUACGGGUGGCAG
RNAcentral lists this ribosomal RNA (307 nucleotides) under uncultured Planctomycetota bacterium. RNAcentral describes it as "bacterial SSU rRNA". It matches the Rfam family "Bacterial small subunit ribosomal RNA", at positions 29 to 351 of the family's 1533-position model. Lineage: Bacteria; Pseudomonadati; Planctomycetota. The record is from RNAcentral.